This is a long non-coding RNA of Canis lupus familiaris (dog), 337 nucleotides long. RefSeq lists it as uncharacterized. Lineage: Eukaryota; Metazoa; Chordata; Mammalia; Carnivora; Canidae. The record is from RefSeq and is a predicted model, not a curated record. The transcript has 2 exons.
GCAGACCUAACAAACAGACUGCACAAAGUCUUUCUGCUUACUCAAACUUUUCACUCUACACUGGGAAACAAAAAGCUAUACACAGGAACUGGGUCACUCAACUCAAUUCAAAGCACAUCUGAAAAACAACAAUAGUGUAAGCUUUCUGGUCCACUGCUUUGUGCCUUCUACUCAGUAAAUUUAAAGACAUUGAACGAGCCAUUUUUUAAAUGGAGGAUAAUAUGCAAACGUCCUAUGAACCUGGCUAACCCACCACCGUCUACAAGGGAGGCUCAAACAAAGAACAGCAUGCCCUCACCAUCUUCUUGCUAGUAUCCUGAAAAAAUUAAAAAAAAAA